UGGGGAAUUUUGGACAAUGGGCGCAAGCCUGAUCCAGCAAUGCCGCGUGCAGGAUGAAGGCCUUCGGGUUGUAAACUGCUUUUGUACGGAACGAAAAAGCUCUCUCUAAUACAGGGGGUGAAUGACGGUACCGUAAGAAUAAGCACCGGCUAACUACGUGCCAGCAGCCGCGGUAAUAUGUAGGGUGCAAGCGUUAAUCGGAAUUACUGGGCGUAAAGCGUGCGCAGGCGGUUUUGUAAGACAGAGGUGAAAUCCCCGGGCUCAACCUGGGAACUGCCUUUGUGACUGCAAAGCUGGAGUGCGGCAGAGGGGGAUGGAAUUCCGCGUGUAGCAGUGAAAUGCGUAGAUAUGCGGAGGAACACCGAUGACGAAGGCAAUCCCCUGGGCCUGCACUGACGCUCAUGCACGAAAGCGUGGGGAGCAAACA
RNAcentral lists this ribosomal RNA (427 nucleotides) under uncultured bacterium. Its description in RNAcentral is "bacterial SSU rRNA". It matches the Rfam family "Bacterial small subunit ribosomal RNA", at positions 355 to 774 of the family's 1533-position model. The record is from RNAcentral.